UUUAAUUCGAAGCAACGCGAAGAACCUUACCAGGUCUGACAUCCGAUGCUAUUCUAGAGAUAGAAAGUACUUCGGUACAUCGGUGACAGGUGGUGCAUGGUUGUCGUCAGCUCGUGUCGUGAGAUGUUGGGUUAAGUCCCGCAACGAGCGCAACCCCUAUUGUUAGUUGCCAUCAUUCAGUUGGGCACUCUAGCGAGACUGCCGGUAAUAAACCGGAGGAAGUGGGGAUGACGUCAAAUCAUCAUGCCCCUUAUGACCUGGGCUACACACGUGCUACAAUGGUUGGUACAACGAGUUGCGAGUCGGUGACGGCGAGCUAAUCUCUUAAAGCCAAUCUCAGUUCGGAUUGUAGGCUGCAACUCGCCUACAUGAAGUCGGAAUCGCUAGUAAUCGCGGAUCAGCACGCCGCGGUCGAAUACGUUCCCGGGCCUU
RNAcentral lists this ribosomal RNA (432 nucleotides) under uncultured Streptococcus sp. RNAcentral describes it as "bacterial SSU rRNA". It matches the Rfam family "Bacterial small subunit ribosomal RNA", at positions 945 to 1382 of the family's 1533-position model. The record is from RNAcentral. Lineage: Bacteria; Bacillati; Bacillota; Bacilli; Lactobacillales; Streptococcaceae.